Molecule: ribosomal RNA, 253 nt
Filed under: uncultured bacterium
Lineage: Bacteria
Description: partial 16S ribosomal RNA
Rfam family: Bacterial small subunit ribosomal RNA
Source: RNAcentral
UACGGAGGGAGCUAGCGUUAUUCGGAAUUACUGGGCGUAAAGCGUACGUAGGCGGCUUUGCAAGUUAGGGGUGAAAGCCUGGAGCUCAACUCCAGAACUGCCUUUAAAACUGCAUCGCUUGAAUCCAGGAGAGGUGAGUGGAAUUCCGAGUGUAGAGGUGAAAUUCGUAGAUAUUCGGAAGAACACCAGUGGCGAAGGCGGCUCACUGGACUGGUAUUGACGCUGAGGUACGAAAGCGUGGGGAGCAAACAGG